Long non-coding RNA from Amphimedon queenslandica, 234 nucleotides. RefSeq lists it as uncharacterized. The record is from RefSeq and is a predicted model, not a curated record. NCBI's taxonomy places the organism in Eukaryota, Metazoa, Porifera, Demospongiae, Haplosclerida, Niphatidae. The transcript is spliced from 2 exons.
AAGUAAGUAUUAUGAAGUCUCUAUUAGCUCAAAUGACCUGCUGAAUCCUUGUUUGCUUGAUCACUGGAUCUCGAUGUGCUAUAAAACAUGGCGGCCUAUAGUUCUGACUUUAAACACCGUUUCUCCAAUCUGGGGCAGAGUUAGGUAUGAAUAUGAAACCAAUGAAGCUAAAUUGUCUGUUGUUUCUUGUACUGACUCUUUUCAGAAGAAAUAUAGAUUUUUAUGAAGUUUUUU